UCACGAUAUCUUUGCAUAACAUAUGCCUCCUCUGGGUCAUCUACAAAACGGGUAGGGCUUCGAGUAUCGGGUCCAACAUGCUCUUUGUCUAUCCAGUCAACAUAAAUUUUACCUAGGGUAUUUGGCGGAAGGGUCCGCAAAAAUGGUAAGUUUAAAGACUUCGAUGUCAUUCUAGGUUUAUCUUUCAAAAUUUCACGACCUGUUUUAUCAACGAGCAUUUUAUUCAGUAAUCGAUGAAGGAAGAAUGGUUGACCAGAUGCAUCUCCUAGGACAGAUAUCAUAUCUCCUAGCAUUAGUAAAUCCAGAAAAAGUAAAUAUAGCUUUUCACCAACUUCUGUAGCAAAGGUCAAAAGAAUUUGCCGAAGUGUUUUUACUACCUAAAUUUCAUACCGCCUCUCCAUGGUGCCUUCAAUCCCAUGAUUGCUGAUCCUGCAACCAAAAAAAUACGUUGCAGCGGUGAUAAAGGAACAUGUCCUGGAUAAUUAACCUUCCUCUCUAAUUUCUUUAGUAAAAUCUCAUUUAUGCAUUAGCUGAGCUAAACAUUUCUUACCAGCUGCUGUAAAAAGCAAACGAAGUUGGUUGGAAGCAACUGAAGGCUUUAAAAACUUCUUUGAAAGUGACAUUACAACGUCUACGACCUUAUUAAUUUCAAGAUGAGCAUUAAGAUAAAACAUACAUACUGAUAUGUGAAGUUCAGUAUUGCUGAUACUUUUUAAAGUGGUGUGUCAUCGAUAUAAUAGAUUUACGAAUUUGGCGUUACAAAAGUCGAAUAUGUUUACUCAAUAAAAAAAAAAAGAUUACGGGUAAUAA
This is a non-coding RNA of Schizosaccharomyces pombe (fission yeast), 810 nucleotides long. The record is from the annotation of a GenBank genome assembly. NCBI's taxonomy places the organism in Eukaryota, Fungi, Ascomycota, Schizosaccharomycetes, Schizosaccharomycetales, Schizosaccharomycetaceae.